UUGGCCAUGCUGAUCUUGAACUCCUGGCCUUAAGCGAUCCUCCUGCCUCUGCCUCCCAAAGUGCUGGGAUUAUAGGUGUGAGCCACUGUACCCAGCCUAAAUGAGUGAGUCUUUAACCUUCCUUCUAGUUGGCUUGAGUAGAACUCCAAGGAAUAUGAAAGUCAAUUCUCCUUCUAAUAGAUGGUAAAUGAAACCCUUUGGAUUUGAAUAAAGAGAAUGGUUCCCUCUCUCUCUCUCACACUCUUUCUCUCUUUCUUUCUCUUGCCCUCGCUCUCUCUUGCUCUCUCCUGCUCUCUCUCUCUCUCAUCCUCCCAGGAAGAGCCAGAUUAGACUUAUUGGAAGACUGUGCCUUGGUGAUUCAUACAACUUUCUGGGAUCUUUUGAUUAACGGAGAAAAAGUCAUAAGAUCAGCAAGAAGAGAAACUAGAUUUUUGCCUCAACUCAACAUGUUAAGUAAUCACCUGACAUCUGCAUAAGACCACCUCUUGGCACCUGGCUACACAAGCUGAAAUGGUUGUCUUUGGAAGAAGAAUAGACAUUCAUGGCAGACCAAAGAUCACUCUCUGAAGGUAGGACCAUGUUUUUAUAUCCCCUUCAGCACCCAACGUGGUGCCUCACAUGAGGAAAAUGCUCAAAAUAAUGGUUAAUUACACAUUUUGAGAUUCAUACAUCCUGGAAGAGCAUCUUUCAACUUUUAAAGGGUAUUCCCCCUUUUGAUAAACAUGUACUCACAUUGCUGACUAUAGAAUCCCAGAUUCUGAUCCAGGACCUUUCACCUAUCUAUGCCUCCAUUUAUGAUUACCUGCUCUAGAAGUUGAAUGAAUAGAAAAGGAAAUGAGCAUUUGUUUGUUGAAAACUAUCAAGCUCCAGG
This 871-nucleotide long non-coding RNA is filed under the name Papio anubis (olive baboon). Its description in RNAcentral is "lncRNA (ENSPANG00000051211.1)". The record is from RNAcentral. Lineage: Eukaryota; Metazoa; Chordata; Mammalia; Primates; Cercopithecidae.